AUCUUUUAGCAAAACUCUCUACCCCCUACAGAAGACUUUUCGGUUCAGGUACAGAUCCCAGUUGCACCUCUAAUGUGAAAUAAUGUCUUUUAAAGCCAUCACAAAAAUGAACGAAAACACAUUAAGGGGAUAAAAUGCUUUCAACUAUAAAAAUAGAUGAUUGGUUUCACUUAUCUCCUAGCAACACUCUUGUGUGUGUGUGUGUGUUUUCCAUUUCAAGCUCAGGAUUUACAGGCAUUGUUCUGCUGAUCAUAAAGCACCAGGCGACACUGUCGUGCUGCACCACGCACAUCAUUUGGGAAAGAGAAGGUGGAAACGGAGUCAUGUUCAACCCAGAUGUCCGCAGGAGCAGCACCAGCUGGGCCCUUUGAGCCGGACAGAAAUGAGAGAAACAGUUCUCUCCUCUCAUCUGUGGAGCCACAGGGCUCUCCUGCUUCACAAUACUUCUCGUGUAGUACUUUAGCUGGCUUUUCCAGAAUGGGUUAAUUUGGCCCAAGUUGUUGGUACACAUUAGGAAGAAAUGCAGAAUGCCAGCAAGAAACAAGUGACUGAAUAAACAAAAACAAAACAGGGAAUAAAAAAAUAAAA
This 588-nucleotide long non-coding RNA is filed under the name Ovis aries (sheep). RNAcentral's name for it is "lncRNA (ENSOARG00000027035.1)". The record is from RNAcentral. Lineage: Eukaryota; Metazoa; Chordata; Mammalia; Artiodactyla; Bovidae.